AGCGAACGCUGGCGGCAGGCUUAACACAUGCAAGUCGAACGGGCACUUCGGUGUCAGUGGCAGACGGGUGAGUAACACGUGGGAACGUACCUUUUGGUUCGGAACAACUGAGGGAAACUUCAGCUAAUACCGGAUAAGCCCUUACGGGGAAAGAUUUAUCGCCGAAAGAUCGGCCCGCGUCUGAUUAGCUAGUUGGUAGGGUAAUGGCCUACCAAGGCGACGAUCAGUAGCUGGUCUGAGAGGAUGAUCAGCCACAUUGGGACUGAGACACGGCCCAAACUCCUACGGGAGGCAGCAGUGGGGGAUAUUGGACAAUGGGGGCAACCCUGAUCCAGCCAUGCCGCGUGAGUGAUGAAGGCCCUAGGGUUGUAAAGCUCUUUUGUGCGGGAAGAUAAUGACGGUACCGCAAGAAUAAGCCCCGGCUAACUUCGUGCCAGCAGCCGCGGUAA
RNAcentral lists this ribosomal RNA (449 nucleotides) under uncultured bacterium. RNAcentral's name for it is "partial 16S ribosomal RNA". It matches the Rfam family "Bacterial small subunit ribosomal RNA", at positions 29 to 523 of the family's 1533-position model. The record is from RNAcentral.